AACGAACGCUGGCGGCAUGCCUAACACAUGCCAGUCGAACGAGACCUUCGGGUCUAGUGGCGCACGGGUGCGUAACGCGUGGGAACCUGCCCUUAGGUUCGGAAUAACUCCCCGAAAGGGGUGCUAAUACCGGAUAAUGUCUUCGGCCCAAAGAUUUAUCGCCUUUGGAUGGGCCCGCGUUGGAUUAGCUAGUUGGUAGGGUAAAAGCCUACCAAGGCGACGAUCCAUAGCUGGUCUGAGAGGAUGAUCAGCCACACUGGGACUGAGACACGGCCCAGACUCCUACGGGAGGCAGCAGUGGGGAAUAUUGGACAAUGGGCGAAAGCCUGAUCCAGCAAUGCCGCGUGAGUGAUGAAGGCCUUAGGGUUGUAAAGCUCUUUUACCCGGGAUGAUAAUGACAGUACCGGGAGAAUAAGCCCCGGCUAACUCCGUG
Molecule: ribosomal RNA, 433 nt
Filed under: uncultured bacterium
Lineage: Bacteria
Description: partial 16S ribosomal RNA
Rfam family: Bacterial small subunit ribosomal RNA
Source: RNAcentral